GUUCUGAGGAUGCUGUGCAAAAUGCUCUGAGGAGAAUCUUUUUAAUGUGGACAGAUUCGCUAUGUGCUCCUGAAGCUCUGUGUCAUGCAAGCAGCAGUUUCUCAAAGGUCCCAAUUCCUCCUCCACCAAUGGGAUUCUUAUUUCUGCAAGGGCUGCAAUAGUAACACUAUAGAAAAAGAGAGAAGAGGCCCUCUGCAUCUGUAUGUGUAUCUGGAGCUGUAUCGUGGAAGUGAAAGGGAUUAUUUCUGCACAGUUAUUUAACUACACUUUUCCUGGUGCCAAUGUUGAGAAGAAGUGAAGCUGGAGUGAGUAUGUUAAAUGAGACUAUCAAGGAGUUACAGAGUCACAUUCAAUGAAUCUGCAGACAGAAACUGUACUAUCUGAGAAAUACUCUUUGUCCUAUAAAGGAAAAAGUGCCAGAAAUAUCCUGAUUGCAGGAAUGAUAUGUGUAACGCGUAGAAACUCUCAUCACUUGAAGAGUCCAUUAUGGAAUUAUAUCUUUACAUCUUUAACUCACGUGCAAAACUAAUAUGAAGAAUGUUCGUGCUGCAGUUGGUUGAGAAGAACAAUGCAAUAAAUGGCUUUCCUUCUCUUCCAGUUAGUUGAGGUCUUCUGUGCCAGAGGAGCUUUUGAUUAUGAUCUGGAUUCACAAUUCAUAGAGAAUAUUUGGAAUCUGAUCCAAUACUCCCUAAGUCUAAAAGAACUGUGGGUAAGAAGGGAAGCCUGUAUGGCUAAAAGCAAGCUAAAGGGGUCAUUAGGAGUAAAAAGACAUUGUUCAGAAACUGCCUUCUAUUCUAGUUUAAAGCCUUACCAGACCCUGAGUCUAAAUCAGCACUGCACAGUUGGGAUGAAGAGUGAAAGGGAGGAAGUAAUAGUACCUGAAAAUCAAAUGGGGACUGUGAGACAUUUGGUUGUUCAUAUGUCUGGAAGAAAAGCUGGUGUUCCCACUUCUCUGUAGAACUGGUCUGGCUGAUUUGAGAGACAGGCCUCAGCUCUGUUCCCCAUCCCUGGUACUCAAGGGAAAAAUAAGGAUAAAGUUUAUUGUAAGUGAUAUUUUUGGUUAAUACGUACAACGGCCACCUGGUCCCUGCCUGAUCGCCAGCACAAACCAGAGCAGCCAGUUCAUAUCCCAUUUCCCCUGCUCCUUCUGGAGCUCUGGAAAGUAACAAAAAAAAGGGUAGAGCUGUGCACAUCAUCUUUUCUUCAAUUCCUCUUCUAUUCCUCGGUUCAAAAUCUGCCAUCAGUGUUGGGGCCUGAAGCAUAACUGAGGAAAGAGAUGCUUUUCUGCCUAUCUUGUGCCUCCUAAGGGGCUUCUGCAUAGAAUAUAGUUUAAUGUGGCCAUUUCUGCCUUCUUUUUCAUAAUCAGUGAUAUAAACAGACUAUACUCAAACUGUCCUCUGACCUAUAACUUGGGAAGAUCUAUGUUGGUAGAGCUGCAUUCAAUAAUAGCCCAGUCAAAGCUCUGACUACUGUGCAAUAAAAUUCUUUUUAUCCGUGCCAUACUAUGCUGUGGCUCAGAAGUAUUUUGAAUGUCAAGAUGUUGCCAAAGAUGCCUGUUGAUAUAAAGCAGAUGCGCGCUUUUCAUUCCAUCACAUGUUGUCUACAUGAGAUGGUGUUGAUAUUUAUAUAUUGACUUAUGACUUUCUUUCUGAGUUUGGACUUGGUUUUAUUUGCUAUGCUUGAGUCUCCCUGUAGUCCCCAGCUAUGGGGUAGUUUCUUCAGUGCUCAAGCUUUGAUAGGGCUAUCUGAAUGUAUAGGAAAUCUCUGUAAGAAAUGGUGAAUGGGAAUCCGGUGGUAUGUAACAGGAUCUCAGGCUUUUACUUACAAUCCCCUAACACACAUUAUAUAGUAUGUCUUCUGGUUGGUUGAUUGGUUGUG
This is a long non-coding RNA of Lagopus muta (rock ptarmigan), 1878 nucleotides long. RefSeq lists it as uncharacterized. The transcript is spliced from 7 exons. The record is from RefSeq and is a predicted model, not a curated record. NCBI's taxonomy places the organism in Eukaryota, Metazoa, Chordata, Aves, Galliformes, Phasianidae.